This 230-nucleotide ribosomal RNA is filed under the name uncultured bacterium. Its description in RNAcentral is "partial 16S ribosomal RNA". It matches the Rfam family "Bacterial small subunit ribosomal RNA", at positions 15 to 244 of the family's 1533-position model. The record is from RNAcentral.
GAUCAUGGCUCAGAUUGAACGCUGGCGGCGUGCUUAACACAUGCAAGUCGAACGCGAAAGUGGCUUCGGCCACGAGUAGAGUGGCGCACGGGUGAGUAACGCGUAUCCAACCUGCCCCAUCACUUGGGAAUAACCUUGCGGAAGUAAGACUAAUGCCCAAUGAUAUCCCACGAAGGCAUCCGAAUGGGAUUAAAGAUUUAUCGGUGAUGGAUGGGGAUGCGUCUGAUUAG